Small nuclear RNA from Homo sapiens (human), 107 nucleotides. The record is from Ensembl. NCBI's taxonomy places the organism in Eukaryota, Metazoa, Chordata, Mammalia, Primates, Hominidae.
GCACUCACUUCAGCAGCACAUAUACUAAAAUUGGAGUGAUACACAGAAGAUUAGCAUGGCCCCUAUGCAAGGAUGACAUGCAGAUUCAUGAAGCAUUCCAUAUUUUU